UCUCCUGUAGCUCAGUGGUUGAGCGCCCGCCUGUUGUUUGGGAGGUCGUGGGUUCGAGUCCUGUUGGGAUAA
Molecule: non-coding RNA, 72 nt
Organism: Desmophyllum pertusum
Lineage: Eukaryota; Metazoa; Cnidaria; Anthozoa; Scleractinia; Caryophylliidae
Source: the annotation of a GenBank genome assembly